AUAGAAUUAAGUUAAUUUAAACUAUUAAUUUUCAAAAUUAAAAAUAAAUUUCUAUA
This 56-nucleotide transfer RNA is filed under the name Protostrongylus rufescens. Its description in RNAcentral is "tRNA-Trp". The record is from RNAcentral. Lineage: Eukaryota; Metazoa; Nematoda; Chromadorea; Rhabditida; Metastrongylidae.